CCUACGGGAGGCAGCAGUGAGGAAUAUUGGUCAAUGGGCGCGAGCCUGAACCAGCCAAGUCGCGUGAGGGAAGACGGUCCUAUGGAUUGUAAACCUCUUUUGUCGGGGAGCAAAAGACGCCACGCGUGGCGUUCCGAGAGUACCCGAAGAAAAAGCAUCGGCUAACUCCGUGCCAGCAGCCGCGGUAAUACGGAGGAUGCGAGCGUUAUCCGGAUUUCUUGGGUUUAAAGGGGGCGCAGGGGGGAGAUCAAGUCAGUGGUAAAAUGGUGAGGCUCAACCCGGACGAGCCGUUGAUACUGGUGGUGUGGAGUGAGGGAGAGGUAGGCGGAAGGCGUGGGGUAGCGGUGAGAUG
This 352-nucleotide ribosomal RNA is filed under the name uncultured bacterium. Its description in RNAcentral is "partial 16S ribosomal RNA". It matches the Rfam family "Bacterial small subunit ribosomal RNA", at positions 338 to 688 of the family's 1533-position model. The record is from RNAcentral.